RNAcentral lists this non-coding RNA (26 nucleotides) under Mus musculus (house mouse). Lineage: Eukaryota; Metazoa; Chordata; Mammalia; Rodentia; Muridae. The record is from RNAcentral.
UGUAAUUCGUUAAAAUUAGAUUGGAU